RNAcentral lists this long non-coding RNA (2399 nucleotides) under Nicotiana tabacum (common tobacco). RNAcentral describes it as "long non-coding RNA (NTAB_LNC005176)". The record is from RNAcentral. Lineage: Eukaryota; Viridiplantae; Streptophyta; Magnoliopsida; Solanales; Solanaceae.
AAAGACCUCUCAAUGCGGCGCAACUACUGUUCAUCUUCUCCCUCACCAAAACUCAUCUCUGCCUCGCCCAAAACUCAUCCGAGUUCACCCCUUAACUCACCUCACACGCUUUCCCCCUCUCUCCCCUUGCCAUAUAGGUGUAACGGCCUCUGACACCCGAAGAUUCCCCUCCUUUUUACUCGCCCGAUUUCAACCCAUUUCACGCGAUUAGUAGGCUCUAGAAGACGUGCGUUGGAUGAGUGAGAGGUAUUGGAUCGAUUUCACUCAAUCCAAGCCUCACAUUCAUCAGGUGUUCGAAUUCAAGAGGGCCCUAUCAUAUUUCUUGAAGAAGAAGAAAAAAUCUAGGGAGAUAGGGAAAUAAGGGAUUUUGAGAGAAAUUAGAAAAGAAAAUGGAGGAUUUGUUCUGAGUUUUCCUUUUUUAGUUGGUUUUAUUCUUUCUGUCUUCUUCCCGAUUUUUAAAAGAGAACGAAAAAACUUUCCAGUUCUUUUUUGCUUGUUCUUAGUUUGCUUCCAAAAAUCUGAAAAUUCAAAAAAAAGUUCCAUUUUCCUUCUAUGAUUUCCGUUCAAGUGAAGUUGAUUUAAGCGAGCUCGUCACUGUUGAGAGCUGUUGAUCGAGUUUCUCUCGUGACUGCUAAGUCCUGUUUCUCUGUUGUUGCUUUGUUUUGAAUUUUCACUGCUGAACCUUUCUUGUAUUCUGCUCCUGGAAGUAGUUGAAGUUUUGCGCAUUCAGGUGUAUUUCUUCUCCUGUACUACUUUGUUUAGAUGGUUUAAAACACGGUUAAGAAGUUCAGUCUUGAUUAAAUUGAAAUUUAUGCAUUGUUGAUGUGAUAAGUUGCAUUUUGAUAAAAUAUGCGGCUGCUAGUAGAGCACGAAUCUGCGAUGCCUUUACUCUCGAAUUCUUGCUGUUUGUUUUCAUUAGUUUGCUUUGUUUGGCUGAAGCUUGGCUAGUUGUGAAAAUAUUAGCUGAAUCUCAUUCUAGCGAUGUGUUAUGUUGUGAUUUUUUAUGAACAUUUAGUAUAUUCUUCUCAGUUGGAGCCUGAAAGAGUGCUGGAAAUAAGUUUUUUUUUCUGCAUGUUGAUAAUCUAGUCUAUGCGGAUGUUGCUCUAAACUUGCUGCUGUUCCUUGUUCUGCUGUGUCCCUAUGUCAACUGAUAGCCCUAUUUGACCGAGAAACAAUUGCUGUUGGAAUUCAUGUGUCAAAAGCUGGAGUGAUUGUGAACAUCAACUGUUUGGUGUAAAUCCUAUGUGCUUGAGUUGAUAAUUUUAUUAGACCUGAAAGUUUAAGUUUCAAGUUAUACAAUUGAUGAGGAAGUGCAGCUGUCCAGGUCUACUUGUUUGUUUCCUUUAACCUAAAAUGUGCAUUUGUGUGAUAACUUGUUGUUUAAUUAAGCGAGAUGUUCCUCAUUUGGAAUGAUAAUAGCUAUACCCCUAUCUUGUGCUUUUUUUAAUUGAAAGAUUAGCCCCUCCUUCUGAACAUGAUCUAUUUUAGACCCUCUGAUUCAAGUCGCCUAUAGGCUAAGUUUUGUGAACUAAAAUUUCAAAAAUGAUCGAGGUAUUGUCAGGUUUGUCGAGGUACUGUUAGGUUCUCGUUUGUUGAGUUUAGCUGAUUCUCAUUGCGAAAUCUUGUUGUUAUCCUCUGUUAAGAUACACAUCAGUUUGGUUUCUCUUUGGUUAUGGUUUAGGCAAGAUUUCAGCAUCCACGUUAAAGGCUCAAGUAGGAUUUUAACUUGGAUUUUGCAAGUGUUUUGUUUCUGCUCCGCAAUGCUUAUUCAAGACGGAAACUGAAUUAGAACUUGGUGGUGUAUCGCUGUCCUUGCAAAAUUGAAGCAGUUAAGUGAUUUUACACUCAAAUGACCCAUGAUAUGCAUAAAAGGAAAUUGACUCUUGGCUUUAGCUUGAUGUUUGCUUCUUACUUUCUUAUUCCUUCUUAGAGCCGCAGAUUUUUUUAGUAUAAAUGUGUAGUUGAUGACAAAUGUUUGCUUGGAUCAAGCAUGUUUCAUGCUGUGCGAAAGUUAUUUGUAAAUGAAUCCUAUUUUGCAAAUAUAUCUCAAUAUUAGUGUGAAUUCUGAUGGUGUAAGACCCCCAAGAUAGAGCUCAAACCUCACAGCUAAUCUCCCCCAGAUCCGCAUUUUAAACUCGACAGAACCCAACCAAAAGCGCAGCUGAACCUCGUCCCGAAACCCAUCAUAGUUUUAGCCACAAAACUUGCCUGAAACCUUCAUGAAACAGUCCGGAAAUCAAUCCCUCACACCUCUAAAAGAGCGGCAAUUCAAGCACCAUUCCAGCCAUGUGACUCUUCUGUGGUAUUGCUGAGUUCUGCUGCUACAUACUGUUAUGGUAAAUCUGUUGAGUCUUGAAUCAAAUAAUAAUGUACUACUGUGUUUGGUGCAUAGAUGUGUA